UUACGCAAGCGGAGAGCGAGCUAUAAGGGAUGGGGGGGGGUUCCCGUUACAUCACCGGAGGGAGUUCUGCGUCCGCCGGUGUCAGGAAGAGGAUGCAGGAACCGUCCUGGGUAGGCGGGUCUGUGGGAAUAGCUCAGCCAAUCACAGCCCGCGGCCGCAAGAGCUGAGCGAAUCGGAGGAGGCGUUGCCAUGUCCCGCCCCCAAAACAUCCGCCAGUUAUUGGUGACAGGGGGCGAGUAAUCAAGAGCUAGCCAAUGAAAAGCUUUAUACGGCUUGAUUGACAGUCUAGCGAGCCAGUUAUGGGCCGGCGACGAGAAGACCAAUAGUAGGUGGGGGGGAAUACUCUCCCUGGCACCUGAUUGCUCAGUAAAUGACAGUCAUCAUUUGACAGACUUACCAGAAUGCAUUGGGAUUUGACGCAUGCGUGGUAGUACAGCAGCGGUGGCUGAUGGGAAGUGUAGUUCCAAGUUACUGUCAUGUCAUCCCACUUAAUUAAGAUAAAUAAGGAGUCCUCAUACGCAGUCUAAGUUUUUCCAUCUGUUUGCUGCACUACAGUCUGUAGAGGAUGCUGGGGACUCCGUAAGGACCAUGGUGUAUAGACGGACUCCGCAGGAGACAUGGGCACUAUAAAGAACUUUAGAAUGGGUGUGCACUGGCUCCUCCCUCUAUGCCCCUCCUCCAGACCUCAGUUAGAGAAACUGUGCCCAGAGGAGACGGACAGUACGAGGAAAGGAUUUUGUUAAUCCAAGGGCAAGAUUCCCAGCCCACACCAUCCACACAGUAUAACCUGGAAUAUACGAACCAGUCAACAGUAUGAAACAAAACAGCAUCAGCCCGAGACUGACCAAAACUGUAACAUAACCCUUAUGCAAGUGAAAGGAUUUGCCCUUAUACCUUAACCCUCGAUGUGAUGGCCUCUUAGACGUCUGGAGUGUAAACUUUAACCACAAGUUCUUGAGAUAUUGGACAUAAUCGUCGGGUCCCUUACUAUCAGAGGAGGUGACAGGACUGGUGGUUAUAUCAUAAUACAUCAGGGCCUUAUCAAUGCCUUUGGAGGUAAGUUUCUUUCCACAGGGAAUUACACAAUAAACUAUAAUGCCUACAAGAAUUAAAGUUACAAGUAUGAAUAUGCUUAUUUGCACAAUACCCUGGUGGGAAGGUUUUUAAAUUUCUCCCUGUGGUGGUGUUAGAUGUAUAACAGGUAUAGUUUCCCAGAUAUAUGGUUAUGGUGCUUCCUGGGUUGGGAUUUUUUUACAAUAUGGGAUAUUCCCUUUUCCACAUUUCGCACUGACUGUCAUUUGUUUUGGUGUCAUUAAAAAGGCUGAAAAAAAAAAUUUUUCCUGUUCUAGGGGUAUAUUAAGGGGCACUGUACCUAGGUGGGGCCUAGAUUUGCCACAGACAUAACAGUUGCUUUUAUUGUGUUUGUUAGCAUUAUACUUCAUCCAUUCCAACCAAAAAUUAAUGUCAGGGAAACCAGUUUCAAUAGCUAGGGUGUCUUCAAAGGUAGGGUUAGUAAUAGCCACCAUAUCUUUAGAAGUGGCAAUAUGGGGCUUUAAAGGUUUGUUUUGGGUUUUUAUACAUGUCCCACAAAUAAAACAUUUGCCUUGCACUAUAGUACCCUGCUUGCCACCAUAUACCAAGUACAUAAGUCUCAUUGUCGCUUCUGCUAGGGUUCACUAUGUUUAGUCUAAACCUGUAUGAAUUUGGGCCUUCAUCCAUCUUAUGAAUGGAUAGUCUAGAAAGUAGGGGUACUCCAUAUUUGCUCCAUCUAUUUUUUUUGCAAAUGAUGGGCCAUAUUUCCAAUCUACUCCUGUAUUCCACCCCACAUAUUCCCAGGAAUUACAAUUAGAUCCAUAAUAUCUAAUGUCAUAGUACCAUUCGUCAGUAACACAAAUAUAUACUGUCUCAGACAUUCCUGAUUUCCUCCUUUGUUGUAUAUAAUAUUUGUCAUCAGCAAUUUUGGGGAACAUAAAAUAAUCAAGGAUGUAUGUGGCUACGUGUGUAUUGGAGGAAUUGUACCACAAGGUGGGGACCCCAUCUGUUUGUGUGAUGUCGACUUCACAUAUUGUGAGGUGAAU
This is a long non-coding RNA of Pseudophryne corroboree (corroboree frog), 2078 nucleotides long. RefSeq lists it as uncharacterized. NCBI's taxonomy places the organism in Eukaryota, Metazoa, Chordata, Amphibia, Anura, Myobatrachidae. The transcript is spliced from 3 exons. The record is from RefSeq and is a predicted model, not a curated record.